GACGAACGCUGGCGGCGUGCUUAACACAUGCAAGUCGAGCGGUGAAGGGAUCAGCUUGCUGGUUCUGGAUGAGUGGCGAACGGGUGAGUAACACGUGAGUAACCUGCCCCCUUCUUCUGGAUAACCGCAUGAAAGUGUGGCUAAUACGGGAUAUUCUGCGCCUGCUGCAUGGUGGGUGUGGGAAAGAUAUUGUUUCGGUGGGGGAUGGGCUCGCGGCCUAUCAGCUUGUUGGUGGGGUGAUGGCCUACCAAGGCGGUGACGGGUAGCCGGCCUGAGAGGGGGGACGGUCACACUGGGACUGGGACACGGCCCAGACUCCUACGGGCGGCAGCAGUGGGGAAGAUUGCACAAUGGGCGCAAGCCUGAUGCAGCGACGCCGCGUGAGGGAUGGAGGCCUUCGGGGUGUGAACCUCUUUCGCCAGUGAAGCAGGCCUGUCCCUUGUGGGUGGGUUGACGGUAGCUGGAUAAGAAGCGCCGGCUAACUACGUG
Molecule: ribosomal RNA, 489 nt
Filed under: uncultured bacterium
Lineage: Bacteria
Description: partial 16S ribosomal RNA
Rfam family: Bacterial small subunit ribosomal RNA
Source: RNAcentral